This 357-nucleotide ribosomal RNA is filed under the name Triticum aestivum (bread wheat). Its description in RNAcentral is "partial small subunit ribosomal RNA". Lineage: Eukaryota; Viridiplantae; Streptophyta; Magnoliopsida; Poales; Poaceae. The record is from RNAcentral.
AUGUUUAUCUUCAUAAAGAGAAGUGGUUUAAAUAUCAUGAACCCAUUAAAGAUACUUGUGAAGAAUAUAUUAUUGCUAAGACUAGAAUACAAGCUUAUUGUCCUAAUCCUGGUGUGCCCACUUCUUAUAUUGAAAAGCCUCAUUUUCUUGUCAGAAUUAAGUGAUAUUCUAAGGCUACAACUGUGGUUUGUAAAAGUUAUAUUAAAACACCUAAACCCCCUGAAAAAAUUAAAGUAUAACUUUCUAUUGCUAUGGUUAAAGAUCUCUUGGUUGAUUAUAUUGAUGGACAUGUUAUAUAUUUCUGUGAAGAUGUUGCUAGAAUUGCUAAACCCGCUAGAAAUGAACAAGAUAAGAUAG